UCUUAUUGCGUUCGUCACACUUUCGCUUCCCGCAAAGGAACGGCGUUCCUCUCUUCCGCUGUGCCCUAGCCCCCAACACCGACUAGCCGGCGGCGUCGAGUGCAUACGUGGUCCGCGGACACACCUGCUCCUCACGCCGUGGUUCGGUCGCGGAAGGACAUGGCCGAUUCCACCAGCUCCUCCUCGCGCUUCGGCUUCGCCGCCGCCUUCUCCGACCAAGUCCUCAUGCCCAGGGCAUCUGGGGUUCAGGUCGUGUUGUGUCUCUGUCGACUCGCACAAAGGUCAGCGACACCAGCUUCGUGGUUGGCGUCGCGGUGGGCUUCACUCUGAAGAGAAGGCUGCGCCGGUGGGCUGCUAGGCUGCUCAAGAGAAUUAAUGACGAUAACUGGCCACAUAACUGCAAUCUCUUAUUUUUUGUUCACAAAUGGUUACUCUCUAUCCCCAAGUUGAAACCUUGUAGGUUGCUUUGGAUUAACUGUGAUGAAUACAAGCUAGUGGUUUUCCAGCUGUAUGUGCACCACCCCUUUUAGGUGAUCUGUACUGGCACUUGUGGUAGGUGCAGAUUCUGCCUUGCAUCUCUCGCUAUCGUAAUCUAUGGUGCCAUUUUGAGUCUUCCCUGGUUGAUUUAUAAAUAUAAUUUGUAUUUGUUUUUCGA
Brachypodium distachyon (stiff brome) is the source of this 655-nucleotide long non-coding RNA. RefSeq lists it as uncharacterized. NCBI's taxonomy places the organism in Eukaryota, Viridiplantae, Streptophyta, Magnoliopsida, Poales, Poaceae. The transcript has 2 exons. The record is from RefSeq and is a predicted model, not a curated record.